UACUGGUCACACCAUCUCUUACAUUAGUAAACCCUAGUUCCAUUCACAAAUGUAGCCAACAACACCCAGACCUUCCCUCUCUAAAACUUCAUUACACUUUACCCGUUAAACAUAAAGAUAUGAAAUCUGUUCAUAUCCAAAAGAAAAGCUCAGCCACACCCCCCUGCUUGUUCUCUUGUCCGAUUACCGGCGACCAGAGUCGGGUACCGGCAACACUCCGACGUUCAUCUUCAGGUGACAGUUAACCUUACACACUCGUCUCUCUCUUUCCCCUCUCGCACUGAUGAACGAACGACCGGCCACCAUCGUCGGUGGCGGCGCUCGGUGACGGUAGCAGAACCACCACAGCGGCGGCGUGUGGUGGGUGGCAUGCCAGUGGUGGUUACGGGCAGUGGCGGUGCACGGUGGCGACGUUAAUCAGGAAAAGAGAGAGAGAAGAAAGGCGGCUGUGGCGGUUCGCGGCGGCUCUAGGCCGCCAUUUCUGGCAACGCAGGCAAGUUUGCUUCCCGUGCGGGUCACGCUUCGUCAAGUCGGUGACUCGGUUGUUCCCGGUUCAGAACCGACAACAGUGGGGAGUGUUUCUCGAGUCGGUUCAGUUUCAGUUUUGGUGCGGAUACGAGUCUCGGUCAAGCUGCGGUCAUGGGUCAGAUUCAUGCUCGGUUUCAAAGUGCGGGUCAACAUCUGUCAAUUCUGGUCAACUAUCGGCUCGCACAAGUUUUGGUAUAAAAUAACGACUCGAAUACAAAGUUUAGUGUCUUUCAUAAUUAUUUAC
This is a long non-coding RNA of Helianthus annuus (common sunflower), 772 nucleotides long. RefSeq lists it as uncharacterized. The transcript is spliced from 3 exons. The record is from RefSeq and is a predicted model, not a curated record. Lineage: Eukaryota; Viridiplantae; Streptophyta; Magnoliopsida; Asterales; Asteraceae.